Molecule: long non-coding RNA, 620 nt
Organism: Cyprinus carpio carpio
Lineage: Eukaryota; Metazoa; Chordata; Actinopteri; Cypriniformes; Cyprinidae
Source: Ensembl
CAGUAGAGGUUUUUUUGUGAGUGCUUCCGGAGAAUAACCUCAGACAACAGUGACAUCACUGUGGUUUCCUGUCGGCACGGCAACCGUCACCCUCGGAGGCAGAGACACGACAUGUGAGAGAUGUGAUGCUUUCUUCGCUUCACACCUCGUCCCAUCUCUCCGUCUCCGUCUCUCACCAGCUCGCUUUAGAUCUGCUUGAGUUAUCAGGAUGACUGCAGCCCCGGGGCAAACGGCGAGCCGGCAGCGCAGAGAGCUUCUCCUUUGUGUCUGUGUGGGAAUGUAGGUCUCUCAGGGCCGGUCGGUCGGGUCAGAGCAGGCUUACGGCUGUAAUCUCCCCAGCAGACGUCCAUAUCAGGAGCGGCAGGAGGAGGUGUGACGCUCGUCUAGACGGGCCGCAGACGCUUCCCCUCCCCCAGAGACCUGCUGUUCCUGGCACACAACGGACCACGGGGCAUUCACAUUAUACUGAGGGAAUUUUCUCUCACAGAAACUCAUUCACAUUGUGUAUGAAGCCUCAUGGAAUAUUAAAAUGUGACAGCUGGGGGAAAACAAAAUGUGAAUCUGAAACUCAAAAACAAUGUGGGUCAUUAGUUGUGAGAUUUUCUGCCCAAAUAAACCAC